UACGAACUGUGCGAACGUUAUUCGGAAUCACUGGGCUUAAAGGGUGCGUAGGCGGUUACCUAAGUCAGGUGUGAAAUCUCUCGGCUCAACCGAGAAACUGCGCUUGAUACUGGGUGGCUAGAGUGAGGUAGGGGUGUGUGGAACUUCCGGUGGAGCGGUGAAAUGUGUAGAUAUCGGAAGGAACGCCAGCAGCGAAAGCGGCACACUGGGCCUUUUCUGACGCUGAGGCACGAAAGCUAGGGGAGCGAACGGG
This 253-nucleotide ribosomal RNA is filed under the name uncultured bacterium. RNAcentral describes it as "partial 16S ribosomal RNA". It matches the Rfam family "Bacterial small subunit ribosomal RNA", at positions 524 to 776 of the family's 1533-position model. The record is from RNAcentral.